This 301-nucleotide ribosomal RNA is filed under the name uncultured bacterium. RNAcentral describes it as "partial 16S ribosomal RNA". It matches the Rfam family "Bacterial small subunit ribosomal RNA", at positions 509 to 807 of the family's 1533-position model. The record is from RNAcentral.
CAGUCGCCGCGGGAAUACGGAGGGAGCUAGCGUUGUUCGGAAUUACUGGGCGUAAAGCGCACGUAGGCGGCUUUGUAAGUUAGAGGUGAAAGCCUGGAGCUCAACUCCAGAGUUGCCUUUAAGACUGCAUCGCUUGAAUCCGAGAGAGGUGAGUGGAAUUCCGAGUGUAGAGGUGAAAUUCGUAGAUAUUCGGAAGAACACCAGUGGCGAAGGCGGCUCACUGGCUCGGUAUUGACGCUGAGGUGCGAAAGCGUGGGGAGCAAACAGGAUUAGAUACCCGAGUAGUCCCUGUCUCUUAUAC